This is a long non-coding RNA of Bactrocera neohumeralis, 1264 nucleotides long. RefSeq lists it as uncharacterized. The transcript is spliced from 2 exons. The record is from RefSeq and is a predicted model, not a curated record. NCBI's taxonomy places the organism in Eukaryota, Metazoa, Arthropoda, Insecta, Diptera, Tephritidae.
CCUUUGUGCACAGUUAAAAAUAAUUUUUCUCCACUCAUUUGGAAAAAAAGCAACAGCCAUGAAGCUUAUACACCUAUUAAUCUUAUGUAUUUGUCUCGUAACGGCAGCAGAAACAAUGGUACUAAAUAACACUACCAUGAGAAAUUAUGCUGUUUUUAUAUCCAGACCAAAAUGUAAAAGUUAUGAUCAUCGUGGACAAUGUAUUGGUGGAAGCUCGAAAUAAAAGGAUAUAAAAAUAUAUAGGAAAAUUAAAAUUAGCACACAUCAUUAUAAUCAAUAAUAACUUCGUUGGAAUUUAGAACUGCGAACAAAAAAUACAUAUGUACAUAAAUAUAAAAUUACAAUAGGUAUUAGACGUUUCCAAAUAAGGAAAGAAUAAAUGUAGGCCUUAAUAAAAUUAAGUGAUUCUAUAGUUAUAUUCUAUAGUUAUAUAUCUUUAUUCAAAUAAUAUGUUCUAAACUUAUCCAUUUAUUAUAAAAUAAUAUCGUAGUCAAGACGAUAUUUUAAUGGGCAAAACUGGAGGCUUUCUACAUGGUACUGGACGAAAAAUCAUCGAUAUUUCAAGAGAAAUGAUAUAUCGUAUAUACAUACUAUGAUCGUUUAAUGGCCAUCCCUGAAAAAAAUUUCCCUUAUCUCAGAAACACUUGAAAUUUGGAAGAAGAUUUCUAAUGAAUGAUUCCACGAAGAUUAGCAAUUUAAAUACAUACGAGGCUGUAAUUCUCAUAAGAAGAUUAUUUUAGUAAAAGUGUUAUUUUCUAGGAACGAAAAGUUGAACCCAAUCUCAACUUCCGGUCAACAUUUUUUAAUCAAUAGUAAGGCACUUUUUCAACAAAUUCAUCAUAAGCUUCUCAAAGACGGUGUUUAAAUGAGUUAAGUAUCCACCCACUAUUCACGGAAAAAACUGGCGCACCCUAGCUCAAUACACCACAACCGAUGAUAACAUAGCACAAGACACCUCACAAUACCUGUACACCAACACACUAAGCAAAAAGGAUGGACAACAGGAUAGCAGACAAUUCGUUCGACACACUUCGUCACAUACAUUCGAUGAGAAUACCAAAGCAAGUUUCAAGCAACGGGUGCCAUUGCGAGGAAGUCGACUCUCGCCGCACCACUUGUCGACAUUUAUUUUAAUCAAAAUUAAAAUUUAAAACACUUAUAAUAUUGCAUAUUAUAUUUGAGUUAAUUUUUAUUGUUAAAAUACAAAUAAAAUUCAUUUUUAUUAAGAGCGUAUGCUCUAAAGAAAUUUUGUAUUCAACUUAAA